ACAGCGCACCCUCAGACGGGGGCGUGGCAUGGGCAGGACGGCGAGACGCAGCUAGCAGUUGAUUAGAUGUCGCAGGUGGUACGCGCUGAUCUAAUCAACUGUUGUCUUUAACAGUAAACGGCCAGCGGAGGAGGGACCGGCUGCUGUUGGUGGGACUGAAAAGUCGAGCAGAAAAGCGUGAUCCUGAAAAACUGAAUAUAUUAAAACUACUGUCAAACCUGAACCACUGGCGUCCAGCGUGCAUCUGUGGGAACUAUACCCAGCAUCAUCAACUACAAAACUUGUUAAUUUGGACUCAUGUUUUUAAUCACAAACAAAGUUAGUAAGUGAUACAUAAUAUUUCAGCUUAUUUCUGUGCCGCCAUAAAAUAUGUCCAUCCAUCUAUUUUCCUCAAUUGAUAUACUACAUCAUGUGUUUUAUUAUGUAGAUACUUAGCAUCAUCAAUAACAAAACUUGUAAAUUUGGGCUAAUUUUAUUAAUGACAAAAAAAAAGUUAGUAGAGGAUACAUAAUAUUUCAUCAUAUUUCUAUGCCGCCAUAAAAUGUUCCCCCCGUCUAUUUUCUUCAAUUAAUGUACUAACAUGUGUUUUAUUCUGUAGAUACUUAGCAUCAUCAACAACAACAUUUGUGAAUUGGGACUCAUGUUAUUAAUCACUAAAAAAUUAAUAGGUGAUACAUAAUAUUUUAGCAUAUUUCUGUGCCGCCAACAAAUGUGUCCCCCCCCUCUAUUUUCCUCAAUUGCUGUACUAACAUGUGUUUUAUUCUGUAGAUACUUAUCAUCAACAACAAAACUUGUGAAUUUGGACUCAUGUUUUCAAUGACAAACAAGUUAGUAGGUGAUACAUAAUAUUUCAGCAUAAUUCUGUGCCGCCAUGAAAUGUGUCCCCCCUCUCUAUUUUCCUCAAUUGAUGUACUAACAUGUGUUUUAUUCUGUAGAUGCUUAGCAUCAUCAACAAAACUUGUUACUUUAGACUCAUGUUAUUAAUCACCAAAAAAGUUAGUAGAGGAUACAUAAUAUUUCAGCAUAUUUCUGUGUCGCCAUAAAAUGUGCCCCCCCCCCCCCCCCUCUAUUUUCCUCAAUUGAUGGACCAACAUAAUGUGUUUUAUUCUGUAGAUACUUAGCAUCAUCAUCAACAACAAAACUUAUGAAUUUGGACUCGUGUUAUUAAUCAUAAUACAAGUUAGUAGGUGAUACAUAAUAUUUCAGUAUAUUUUCGUGCCGCUAUGAAAUGUUCCCCCCUCUGUUUUCCUCAAUUGAUGUACUAACAUCAUGUGUUUUAUUCUGUAGAUACUUACCAUCAUGGCGGCACAGAAAUAUGCCGGAUAUUAUGUAUGCCUUACUAACUUUUUUUGUCAUUAAUACUAUUAGUCUAAAUCAGUUGUGUCAAACGUACGGCCGGAGGGCAAGAUCAGGCCCGAGAACAAGUUUUAUCAGACCCGCGGGAUGAGUUUGCCAAGUAUAAAAAUGUACCUGAAAUUUUUGAAUGAAAGUAACUGCUGUUCUAAAUGUGUCCACUGGAUGGCACAAUUGCAAUUAUUUAUAUCUUUGUAGAUGAUGCUAGCUAUGUACAAAAUAAACUACAUGAUGUUAGUACAUCAGUCGAGGAACAUGGUCAAACUACAUAAAUAACAGACAGUGAUUUGAUUUUAAUAUACUUUUUUUUAUCUUAAUUUAAAAUUAACACCCAUAAGUUGACUGAUAAACAUUAUCACAUAAUUUAUUCAGAAAAUAUAAAUCACAACAAAUAAAGAUGGAAUACGAUUAACUGCAACAUGUAAGUGUAAAAGCGAACAUGUUUCUCUACCACAUGUCCACCGGCAGGUUUUGGUGAGAAAAUUGUGGUAAUAAGUCGGCUCUUACUGUAAACAUGAGCGGAGCUUGUGUCGUUCUUCCUGCAGCAGCUGUCAAAGAGGCAGCUGCGACUUUUUUGGCUCCUCCAUGGCUUCACUCAGACACUGGCGGUCACCACACCCCUCCGACUUUCAGCAGCUGUUUAAAAGGCAGCUGUGAGCUUGGCUCCUCGGCUUCUCUCUGAGACACUCCGAGUUCACCGCAGCCAUCCAACCUCGAGGGCACCUUUGGGUGGAUAAGUGGCUCAGCAACUUCACGGAAGUCAGAUGAUACUUGCUGGGAAUACUCACUGCCUUUUAAAGAAGUGAGUUCCCUGUCUUCCGUGAUCGUGUUUCGCCUCUCGACAUCCAUCCGGAUUCCUGACUGCCUUCGUCAAUCCUCGACCCCCUGCUCGGACACGGACUACGCUGCCUCACUCCUGCCGUCAACCCCUUGACUUUGAAUAUGACCAAUGUUUGAUCCUGUAACGACUUGGUAUCGGAUUGAUACCCAAAUGUGUGGUAUCAUCCAAAACUAAUGUAAAGUAUCAAACAGAAGAAUAAAUGAUUAUUACAUUUUAACAGAAGUGUAGAUAGAACAUGUUAAAAGGGAAAGUAAGCAGAUAUUAACAGUAAAUGAACAAAUAGAUUAAUUAUUCAUUUUCUACCACUUGUCCUUAAUAAUUCUGACAAUAUGAGAAUGGAAAAUGACACAAUAUGUUACUGCAUAUGUCAGCAGACUAAAUCAGGAGCCUUUGUUGGCUUACUUACUACUAAAAGACAAGUUGUUUAGUAUGUUCACUAUUUUAUUUAAGGACAAACUUGCAAUAAGAAACACAUGUUUAAUGUACCCUAAGAUUUUUUGUUAAUAU
Nerophis ophidion (straightnose pipefish) is the source of this 2701-nucleotide long non-coding RNA. RefSeq lists it as uncharacterized. NCBI's taxonomy places the organism in Eukaryota, Metazoa, Chordata, Actinopteri, Syngnathiformes, Syngnathidae. The transcript is spliced from 5 exons. The record is from RefSeq and is a predicted model, not a curated record.